This 139-nucleotide ribosomal RNA is filed under the name uncultured bacterium. Its description in RNAcentral is "partial 16S ribosomal RNA". It matches the Rfam family "Bacterial small subunit ribosomal RNA", at positions 355 to 509 of the family's 1533-position model. The record is from RNAcentral.
UGGGGAAUAUUGGGCAAUGGGCGCAAGCCUGACCCAGCAACGCCGCGUGAAGGAAGAAGCUUUCGGGUUGUAAACUUCUUUUAUUGAGGACGAAACAAAUGACGGUACUCAAUGAAUAAGCCACGGCUAACUACGUGCC